Cynoglossus semilaevis (tongue sole) is the source of this 309-nucleotide long non-coding RNA. RefSeq lists it as uncharacterized. The record is from RefSeq and is a predicted model, not a curated record. NCBI's taxonomy places the organism in Eukaryota, Metazoa, Chordata, Actinopteri, Pleuronectiformes, Cynoglossidae. The transcript has 3 exons.
UAGUUCUCCUGGUCAGUGCUCCUGUCACAGUCAACCCUGUUCACUGGUCAGACCUCACACGGGGGUGGUAGAGAGUCAACUUGAAACUACUAAGUUGUCAGCAGCAGCAGGAGAGGAGACACAAACAUGAGGAGCAGCAACAGCUCUCGGCUCGUCGCCCUGACCUUCCUGCUCGUCUGUUUACUCCGUGAGUACUGACAGAGUCCUGGUCCAGUUUCAGGGUCAAGGUUUUAGUCAGGCAGAUCUAGGGUUCACAGACCAGGGACCAGUAAUCAACACAUGACCAAAUCGACCAAUGACGGCUGUGAU